UAGGGAAUCUUCGGCAAUGGGGGCAACCCUGACCGAGCAACGCCGCGUGAGUGAAGAAGGUUUUCGGAUCGUAAAGCUCUGUUGUAAGAGAAGAACGUGUGUGAGAGUGGAAAGUUCACACAGUGACGGUAACUUACCAGAAAGGGACGGCUAACUACGUGCCAGCAGUCGCGGUAAUACGUAGGUCCCGAGCGUUGUCCGGAUUUAUUGGGCGUAAAGCGAGCGCAGGCGGUUUAAUAAGUCUGAAGUUAAAGGCAGUGGCUUAACCAUUGUUCGCUUUGGAAACUGUUAAGCUUGAGUGCAGGAGGGGAGAGUGGAAGUCCGUGUGUAGCGGUGAAAUGCGUAGAUAUAUGGAGGAACACCGGUGGCGAAAGCUGCUCUCUGGGCUGUAACUGACGCUGAGGCUCGAAAGCGUGGGGAGCAAACAGG
This 429-nucleotide ribosomal RNA is filed under the name bacterium. RNAcentral describes it as "partial 16S ribosomal RNA". It matches the Rfam family "Bacterial small subunit ribosomal RNA", at positions 355 to 776 of the family's 1533-position model. The record is from RNAcentral.